Molecule: ribosomal RNA, 1038 nt
Filed under: uncultured fungus
Lineage: Eukaryota; Fungi
Description: eukaryotic LSU rRNA
Rfam family: Eukaryotic large subunit ribosomal RNA (bases 461-1038)
Source: RNAcentral
GAUCAUUAAAGAGAUUUUAUCUCUCACCAUAUGUGGAUUUUAACUUGUUGCUUUGGCCGAUCGAUCUUCGGAUCCUUUGGAUUAACCUCUAAAGAGUUGUCGGCCAAAGAUUUUUAAACUCUUUUUAAUUUAAAUCUGAGUCUUACAAAAUAAAAUUAAAACUUUCAACAACGGAUCUCUUGGUUCUGGCAUCGAUGAAGAACGCAGCGAAAUGCGAUAAGUAAUGUGAAUUGCAGAAUUCAGUGAAUCAUCGAAUCUUUGAACGCACAUUGCACCUUUUGGUAUUCCGAAAGGUAUGUCUGUUCGAGCGUCAUUUAAACUCUCAAGCUUUGCUUGGUAUUGAAGAUGGUUAAUCAACCACUUCAUAACUUAUUGGCAUGAUUUAAAUUAAUUCAAGCGUAGCAAUGUUAUCGUUUAGUUUUAUUUAAGUCGUCGUCAAAUAGACUCAAAACUUCAAGUUUGACCUCGGAUCAGAUAAGGAUACCCGCUGAACUUAAGCAUAUCAAUAAGCGGAGGAAAAGAAACCAACAGGGAUUGCCUCAGUAACGGCGAGUGAAGCGGCAACAGCUCAAAUUUGAAAUCUCCUUCGGGCGAAUUGUAAUUUGAAGAGGAUGUUUUGGUGCAGUCUUGACCUAAGUUCCUUGGAACAGGACGUCAAAGAGGGUGAGAAUCCCGUAUUUGAUCAAGAACUUAACCGUGUAAAACUCCUUCGACGAGUCGAGUUGUUUGGGAAUGCAGCUCUAAAUGGGAGGUAUAUUUCUUCUAAAGCUAAAUACCGGCCAGAGACCGAUAGCGCACAAGUAGAGUGAUCGAAAGAUGAAAAGCACUUUGGAAAGAGAGUUAAAAAGUACGUGAAAUUGUUGAAAGGGAAGCGUUUGCGGCCAGACUUGAUCUCAGUUGCUCAGCCGGUCUUUGCCCGGUGCACUCUUCUGAAUCAGGCCAGCAUCAGUUUGGGUGGUUGGAUAAAGUCGAUUGGAACGUGGCUCCUCGGAGUGUUAUAGCCUCUCGAACAAUACAGCCUACCCAGACUGAGGACCA